RNAcentral lists this non-coding RNA (109 nucleotides) under Lentilactobacillus parafarraginis. Its description in RNAcentral is "Lactobacillus parafarraginis TPP sequence". It matches the Rfam family "TPP riboswitch aptamer (THI element)". From Rfam's summary of the family: Vitamin B(1) in its active form thiamin pyrophosphate (TPP) is an essential coenzyme that is synthesised by coupling of pyrimidine and thiazole moieties in bacteria. The previously detected thiamin-regulatory element, thi box was extended, resulting in a new, highly conserved RNA secondary structure, the THI element, which is widely distributed in eubacteria and also occurs in some archaea. Analysis of operon structures identified a large number of new candidate thiamin-regulated genes, mostly transporters, in various prokaryotic organisms. Lineage: Bacteria; Bacillati; Bacillota; Bacilli; Lactobacillales; Lactobacillaceae. The record is from RNAcentral. RNAcentral also lists the same sequence under 1 other name.
GCACAACACUAGGGGUACCGCCAAUGAGCGGUUGAGAUGAAUCUGUUCGAUUUGGUCCCUUGGAACCUGUAAGACAAUACUUGCGUAGGGAAAGUGAGAAUCCGAGAGG